AGCUUUGCACAGUGGCAGUAUCGUAGCCAGUGAGGUUUAUCUGAGACACAAUUAUUGCUAAUUGAAAACUUGG
RNAcentral lists this small nuclear RNA (73 nucleotides) under Ailuropoda melanoleuca (giant panda). RNAcentral's name for it is "U4 spliceosomal RNA". It matches the Rfam family "U4 spliceosomal RNA", at positions 1 to 73 of the family's 138-position model. From Rfam's summary of the family: U4 small nuclear RNA (U4 snRNA) is a component of the major U2-dependent spliceosome. The structure of U4 snRNA from yeast and human has been reported. The record is from Rfam by way of RNAcentral. Lineage: Eukaryota; Metazoa; Chordata; Mammalia; Carnivora; Ursidae.